Molecule: long non-coding RNA, 456 nt
Filed under: Homo sapiens (human)
Lineage: Eukaryota; Metazoa; Chordata; Mammalia; Primates; Hominidae
Description: non-protein coding lnc-CNTNAP4-3:1
Source: RNAcentral
AAGAGAGUGAACAGGUGUCAGCUGGGUGGAGUCUGGAUCUCUGGUUCAGAGGAUAGCUCUGGAAAGACACUGCAUUAGGGUGGAAUACCUUUCAGGGCCUAAGACAAGAAGAAACAAUAGGAAGGUUUGGAGACAACAGGUGCAGUUGCAGGACUGGAGAGCAGAGUGGUCUUGAUGGGGUUUGGAUCCUUUUGCUCUCACCACAAAGAUGGCACAGUCUUUAUGUCUUUGAAGACUCCUUAAAAUUAUUUUAUGUCUGACUCCCCUGAUGAAAGUUGGAUGCUUCUAUUGUCACCACAAAGAUAUUAAAGGCUUUAUAAGUCUUUAUAGACUCCUUGAAGUUCUUUUAUGUCUAACUCCUUUUAAAAUUUUAGAUACAUACUUGUUGAGGAUCUUUUACUCAGGCAGCUGAAGGUAAAAUUUAAGUCUUCACACAGAGAGGAAAUAUUAUGUGCG